AUCCGUGAAACCAUCUUUAAAAAAUGACUCAGCUUUACACAUCUGCCAAAACCAGAGAGUGCAAAGCCAUCUUAAAAUAGUAUCAGUCAGAAGAACUUUCUGCUUCCCUUUUCUCUCCUGCCUCUAGUGCUCCAACAAAGAGGGGUCAGCAACAGCAGCUGAGAAUGUGAGAGGAGUGAACAAACAUGAAAGAAGCAGCUCACCACAUUGUGUUUUGCCAAGUCCGGUGGCCUGCCCACAGUUACGACCUAACUGCGGAAAGUAGUGAGUGUGUGUGUGUGUGGGAAUCCUGUUUUUAAUGAAAGCUGAAAUGUUGAUUAACAUCACUGUCUGGGCUUUGGAGUUUCAUCUUCUAGUCUGUGCAAUGUGAUUUAAAACAGCAAUUUAACUUUUUAUUUCCUAAGCAUGAGGAGGACAGUUAAAGGAGAGCCUAGGUUAUUUUCCAAGGACCUUGGAAGAGGUUUCUUUAUUAAAUAUAUUAAAUAUUAAAAUAUAUUAAAUAUAUUUUUCUGAGGGAGAAAGGAAAAUAAUUAUCUCUUAAGUUCUCUGAUUAGGCUCCCUCCCUAUUUGCCUCUGUGCACAAGCAGUUAAACAUGUGCAGUCACCUCUAUUCUAUUUUUUUUCACAGCCCUUUUUUUGUGUUUUAUUUUACUUUAUUUUAAAAAUUAUUUUUAAAAUUUAUAUAUGAAAGCAGAAUGCAUUACAAUUCUUAUUACACAUCUAGAGCACAAUUUUUCAUAUCUCUGGUUGUAUACAAAGUAUAUUCACACCAAUUCGUGUCUUCAUACAUGUACUUUGGAUAAUAAUGUCCAUCAUAUUCCACCAUCAUUGCUAACCCCAUGCCCCCUCCCCUUCCUCCUCUAUUCUUAAAAAAAAGAAAAAAAAAGAAAAAAAAGAAAGAAAGAAAGAAAAAAGAAUCCUCCUCAGAACUGGGUGUAGUGGUACAUGCUUGUAAUCCCAGCAAUUUGGGAGACUGAGGCAGAAGGAUUGCAAGUGAGAGGGCAGCCUCAGCAAUUUACUGGCCCUAAGCAACUUAGUGAGACCCUGUUUCAAAAUAAAAAAUAAAAAGAGCUGAGGAUGUGGUCCAGUGGUAAAGCACCCUGGGUUCAAUUCCCAGUAGCAACACCACCACCACCAUCAUCAUUAUCAAAUAUAAAACCUCUUCCUCUCCCAGUUCUGAUCUAGUUAUAUUGAUCUAGUCCCCCUGCCUUUUUUUUCUUUUGAGAGCAGAUUUUUUUUCCCCAUUUUUUUUAUCAGUGCAUUGUAAUUGUACAUAUUGAUGGGAUUUGUUGUUAUCCCGCCACUGAGAGUGGUUCAGGAAUCAAACCCAGGGUCUCUGGCAUUGUAGGCUUGUGACCUGCCACUGAGCUAUACCCCAGCCCUUCUUCCUCUUUAGGGUCAAAUUUACAGAAAAAUAAUUGGCUGUGUGUCAGAGGUCUGUCAGGUCAGUUCCAGAACACUGAAUUCCUGAUCUCAGCAGCAGGCACAUGAUUCUGACACCGCAAAACACAGUGGCCAAUAUCUAUGAACAGCAACUGGUCUAAGGAAUGCGCCUAUGGCACAUGCAGUGACAAUUAGAAUACUUACUUCAGAUUGCUACUCAGAGUUUGGAAGGACUGCUGUGAAACCCAGUUUCUGGUCCUAUUACCACAAUGAACACACUCUUGUAAGAUUUAUAAUUUCUAAUAUUUGUUACUAUAAACUACAUCAUACUACAACUUAGUGAGGCCCUUAGCAACUUAGUGAGACCCUAUGUGGAAAUAUAAAAUAGAAAGAACUGGGACUAUAUAGCUCAGUGAAAAAGCACCCCUGGGUUCAAUCCACAGUGAAAAAAAAACAAACAAACCCCAAAAACAAAAAAACAAAUCAAAAUCAAAUCAAGGGGUCUGGAUUGUUGCUCAGUAGUAGAGUGCUUGCCUAGCAGGCAUGAGGCACUGGGUUCGAUCUCCAAGCAAAACGUGAAAAUACAUAAAUAAAAUAAAGGUAUUAUAUUCAUCUACAACUAAAAAAUAUUAAAACAAACAAACAGAUUUAGCUAGACACAGUGGUUCAUGCCUGUAAUCCCAGAGACUUGGGAGAUAGAGGCCAGAGAAUCACAAGUUCAAGACCAGUCUCAGCAACUUAGUAAGACUGUGUCUCAAAAGCUAAAUAAAAAGAGCUGUGAUGUAUCUCAGAGAUAGAACGUCCCUGGGUUUGAUCCCCAAUACUAAAACAAAACAAAACAAAACAGCAGCAGCACUACCACCAAGGUUUAUUGAGAUAUAAUUCACAUGUAUCAUGUAGUUCACUUAUUUAAAGCCGUGUGACAUUCAAUGUGCUUUACUCUAUUCAUGGUUAUGCAAACAUCACUGCAAUAAAUUGUAAAACAUUUUUGUCACCCCCAAAAUGUAUUCCAUGCCUACUUGUAGUAAUUUCCCAUGCCACCUCCAGUCUCAUCUUUUUGUUAUUGAAUUUUAACUAUUCUUUAUCCAUUCUGAUUACUAGAUCUUUAUCAGGUAUAUAACCUACAAGUAUUUUUCUUACUCUGUAGGUUGUCUGUUCAUUUUCUUAAUAGUGUUCUUUGAUGCAUAAAUGAUAAUGAUGAUGAUGAUGAUUUUGCAGUGCUGGGGAUCGAACCCAAGGCCUCCCACAUGCUGGGCAAGCUAUCUACCACUAAGCUACAUCCCCAGCCUCAUGUUUUCUAUUUUGAUGGUAUAAUUUGUCAAAUUUUUCUUUGGUUGCCUGUGUUUUUAGUGUUGUAUAUGAGAAAUCAUCAAGCAAACCAAUCUGAAGAAAAAUUAAUAAAAAUCAAGGUAAAGAUUUUACUUCUAUAUUUUAUUCUAACAAUUUUAUAGCCUUUUAAGGUUUUACAUUUAUACCCAUGAUACAUUUCAUGUUAAGCUUUGUAAGUGAUGUGGGGUUGGUGUCUAUAUUCCUUCUAGUACCAAAUGGUCUCAGUACCAUUUGUAACUAUUUGUUAUUUUACUCAUUGAAUUUUACUCCAAAUCUCUUGACAAUCUGUUAAAAAGUCAGCUGACUAUAAAUGUAGGAAUAUUUUUGUAACGUCAAUUCAAGUGGGCUGUUCUGUAUGCCUGUCUUUGUUCCAUUAACCACACUGUCUUUAUUACCUUAGCUUUGCUGUACUAAGGACGAAUCCCAGAGGCUCCACUCACCCAUUGAGCUACAAUCCUAGUGCCCUCACCUUUUCUUUUAAGAUAGGGUCUCACUAAGAUGUCCAGGCUGGCUUCAAACUUGAGAUCCUCUUGUCUCAUCCCUCAGAGUAGCUGGGAUUACAGGUGUGUGCCACCAUUCCUGGCUUUUAUUACCUUAGUUUAUAGUAAAUUUCAAAAGCUGCAGGGAUGAACCUUCAAUUUUGUUCUUUUUUUUUUAAACUAAGACUGCUUGUUUAUUUUAGGUUACUUGAAUUUCCAUAUUACUUUUAAGAUCAGUUUGUCCUAAUGUCAUGUGUAGCUAAUAAAAAAAAUUUUAAAAAAGCAAUACAAAAAAAAAGAUCAGUUUGCCAAUUUCUAUAACAACUCCAGUUGAAAAUUUGAUAGGGAUUGUGUUGAAUCUAGAUUAAUUAGGGGAAUACUGCCACCCUAAUUAUACUGUCUUUCAAUCUAUGAACAUAAGAUGUGUUUCCAUUUACUUAGAUCAUCUUAAUCUCUUUCAAUAAUGUUUUAUAAUUUUCAGUAUCUGUGUUUUAGACUUUUCUUAUUAUAUUUACUCCUUAGUAUUUUACUCCUUUUUUAAAUAUUUAUUUUUUAAGUUGUGGUUGGACACAAUAUCUUUAUUUUAUUUAUUUUUACGCAGUGCUGAGCAUCGAACCCAUGGCCUUGUACUUACUAGGCGAGCGCUACCGCUGAGCUACAACCCCAGCCCAGUAUUUUAUUCCUUUUGAUGUAAUUAUAAAUGAAAUUGUCUUUAUCUUUGUUUCAGAUUAUUCAUUGCUAGGAUAUAGAUACAUAAUUAAAUGCACUUUUUACUUACUUUUCUUUUUUUUUUUUUUUUGGUAACAGAGGUUGAACCCAGGGGCAUUUUACCACUGAGCUACAUACCUAGCCCUUCGUACUAUUUUUUAUUUUUGAGACAGGGUCUUGUUAAAUUGCUGAGACUGGCCUGGAAUUUACAGUCCUCCUGCCUCAGCCUUCCAAGGAAUUGGGUGCCACUGUGCCCAUCCCAACUUACUAUAUUUUCAAUUUACAAUGAGUUUAUGGGGAUAUAUCCCCAUCCUAAGUUGAGAAGCAUCUGUAAUGAUCUUGUAUCUUGCAAUUGUGCUGAACUUAUUUGUUGGUACUUGUAGAUUUUUAGUGGAAUCCUUUGGAUUUUCUACAUACAAGAUUGUAUCAUCACUGGGUAUGGUGGCUCAUGUCUGUAAUUCCAGUGGCUGGGGAGGCUGGGGACGGAAGAUCCCAAAUUCAAAGCCAGCCUCAGCAAUUCAGCGAGGUCCUAAGCAACUUAACAAGACUCUGUCUCAAAAUCUCAAGAUAAAUAAAAAAGGGCUGGGGAUGUUACUUAGUGGUUGAGCACCCGUGAAUUCAAUCCCUGGUACAGAAAAAAGAUAAUAUCAAAUAGAGGUAGUUUUGCUUCUUUCUUCUCAAUCUGGAUAACUCUUAUUCCCCCCCCCCCUUUUUUUUUUUUGCCUAAUUGCCCUGAUCAGGCCUUUGGUUUGAUGUUGAAUGAAAGUGAUAAAAACAGAUAUACUAUCACUUUUUUUAUUUUUUGGUACUUAGUGCGUUUAACCACUGAGCCAUAUCCCCAGCCCUUUUUGUUUUUUUUUAUUUUGAGACAGGUUCUCACUAAAUUGCUGAGGGCCUCCCUAAAUUGCUGAGGCUGGCUUUGAAAUUGCAUCCUCCUGCCUUAGUCUCCUGAGUCAUUGGGAAUACCGGCAUACAAGACUGCACCCAGCUGUCACUCUCAAUCUUAGGGCAAAGUAUACAGUCUUUCACCAUCAAUUGUCAGCUGUGGGGAUUUUUGUAGAUGCCGUUUAUCUGACUGAAUAAGUUUCCUUCUGUACCUAAUUUGUUAAGUGAUUUUAUCAUGAAAGGGCAUUUGAUUUUGGCAAAUUUUUUCUGAAUCUCUUGAAAUAAUCAUGUGGACUUUAUUCUUUAUUCUUUAUUCAGUAUGUAAGUAUUUUGAAUUUGAUAUAUAACACUAAAUUAUCUUUAAAAAUUGUAACAAAUUAUAUUCUGAAGAGAAAUUAUAAAAUUUUUAUUUGCUCAUUACCAGCAAUGGUUAUUACUGAUCUCAUUUUUCUUUUAUGGUGCUGGAGAUUGAAUCCACAGCCUUAUGCAUGUAAUGCAAGCAGUCUACAAACUGAGCUAUAUCCCCAGCCCAGCAAUGGUUAUUAUUAAAUACUUCUUAAUUUAUCAGUUGAAAACUACUUAUUGUUUUACUUUUAACCACUGGACUACAUCCCCAGCAUUUUUUAUUUUUUAUUUUGAGACAGGGUCUCACUAAAUUGAUUAUGGCCUUGCUACAUUGCUAAGGCUGGCCUGGAACUUGCUAUCUUCCUACCUUAGCCUUCCGAGUUGCUGGGAUUAUAAGUGUAUUCCACUGCAUUCCUAUCAGAAAUGGAACUCAGGGGAGCUUAGUCACUAAGACACCCCUUUUUUAUUAUUUUAUUUUGAAACUGGGUUUCGCUAUGUGCUUAGGGCCUUGCUAAAUUGUUGAGGUUGGCUUUGAACUGGAGAUUCUCCUGCCUUAGGAUUACAGACAUGUGCCAAGGUGCACAGCUUAAUAUUUUUUUAUUUAUAGAUAUUCAUAAUUUUUUCUUGUUAAUUGCAUAAUUUCAUAAUUUCACUUUAACCUUGUUUGUAAUUUUUUGUUAAUUUGUAAAAAUUUUUAUAAAUUAUAGCUAUUUACUCCAUGCCAUUUAUGACAAUUACAGAUACUAUGUCAAAGAACAUAAAAAGGUAUUCUGGAGGCUGAGGCUAUAGCUCACUGGUAAAGUGCUUGCCUCGCAUGUGUGAGACAGACACUGGGUUGGAUCCUCAGCAUCACUUAAAAAUAAAUAAAGAUAUUGUGUGUCCAUCUACUACUAAAAACAUCUUUAAAAAAAUUUUAAAAACAGUAUUCUAGAGAAUACAAGAAAUCAUUCACUUUGCCUCACAUGGCGUCAAAAUUACUUUCUUCUUAAGAUCUUAGUUAAAAGUAUAUAAAACUCAGUAACUUCUUGUAUUUAGACCUUAAAAAAUGUCAGAUAUUUUCCAUAACAUCUUUGACACAUUUAAAAUUAUAUUCUCAGAUUCUACUGAUGCCUUUUUUUUGCUAAAGAACUGAUCAUAAAGGAACUAAAAAUUUCUGGGUGUUCAAACUGUCAUUAUGACUAUGCCUUAUAAUUUUCCAUGCUUGCUUUUGGUCGCUUUCAAUUAUAUGCUCACCUGUGUUUGCCUACUGAGCAGAACUGCCAUUUCUGGGAAUGUUUUGGUAGUUUGUGUCUCUCAAGGUUUUAAUAUUUCAUUAGAGUUGUAGAAUUUAGCAGCACAUACUUUGUAUGAUUUCCAUUCAUUUAAAUUUUUAAGUUUUGGCUUUUGAACCAGGAAAUAUGGCUAAUUUCAUCAACAUUUUGGGUGCACUAAGGAGAGUGUAUUUUAUUGCUGUUGGGUGGAUUGUUCUAUAAAUGACAAUUGGUCAAAUUGGUUACUACUGCUGGGUGUUGUGGUACAUGCCUACAAGCCCAGAAGCUCAAGAAGCUGAGGCAGGAGAAUCAUAAGUUCAAAGUCAGACUCAGCAAUUUAGGGAGGCCCCAAGCAACUUAGUGAGACCCUGUCUCAAAAAAUAGAAAGGGAUAGGUAUGUGGCUCAGUGAUUAAGUGUCCUGUUACCAAAAUUAAAUAAAUAAAUAGAUAGAUAAUUGGUUAAUACUAUUGCUCAAUCUUCUAUACCUUUGUUUGUUUUCGUAUUGGGGUUGAAUCCAGGAACACUUUACCAAUGAGCCACAUUCCCAACCCUUUUUAUUUUUGAUUUUGAAACAGGGUCUCACAAAGUUGCUCGUUUUGAAUUUUCAAUCCUUCUGCCUUAGCCUCCCAAACUAGGAUUGCAGUGUGUGUACCACCAUGCUAGCAUGUCUUCUAUAACUUUAUGGAUUUUAUCUCUUCUUCUAUCAAUUAUUGAGAGAGGGGAAUUGAAAUCUCUGACAUUAAUGGUUGACAUCUCUAGAUCUCCUUUAAGUUCAUUAAUUUUUGCUUCAUGUAUACUAAUGCACUAUUAUUAGAUAUGUAAAUGUUUAGGAUUAUUAUAUCCUCUUGAUGAAUUGACUCAUUUAUCAUUCUAAAAUUAUCCCCUCAAUCCCUGAAAACAUUCUUUGCUCUGAAAUCUGCUUGUCUUAUAUUAAUUAAAGUCUGUAUAGCUUUUUGUUGUUGUUGUUGUUUUCUGAUAUUGGGGAUUGAACCCAGAGGUGUUUUACCACUAAGCCAUAUCCCCAGCCCUUUAAAUUUUUUUUUUUUACACAAUACCUUUAAUUAAUUAAUUUUUAUGUGAUUCUGGGGAUCGAACCCAGUGCCUCAGCUGUGCUAGGCAAGUGCUCUACCACUGAGCCACAGCUUGUCACAACACCAGCUCCCCCCCUACCCCUUUUAAAUGGUGUUUUUAGAUUAUCUACAAUUGUUUUGAGUAUUGAAACAUUUGGGCUUAAAUAAAUCACAUUGCUCUUCAUUUUCUGUUUUUGCUAACUUUUUUUUUCUAGUUUACUUUUCCUAUUUUGGAUUAUUAAAUACUGUUAUUCAGUUUUGUCUCUCUUGUUGGUUUAUUAACUAUAAUUCUUUUUAUUUUUGGUAGUUUAUUUUUUUGCUUUGAGAUUUAUAAUACACAUCUUUAAUUUACCAUGGUCUAUCUUUUUUUUAUGUUCUAUCUUAAAGUGAUAUUAAAUCACUUUUCAUGCAGUAUAAUACCUUGUAACAUUAUACUCUCAUUUGUUUCCUUCCAGCUUUUGGGCUACACAUUUUACCUUUUUAUAUUUACAGGUCCCAGAAUAUGCUGUUCUGCUUUAGCCAGUUAGUUAUCAUUUAAAGACAUUUAAAAAACAAGAGAUAAUAACUGUAUAAUUACCCAUGCACUUACCAUUGCUGGUGCUUUUCUUUCCUUUGUGUAGAUAGAGAUUUCCAUCUGGUAUCAUUUUCUUUCUGAUUGAAGAAUUUCAUUUAACAUUUUAUAUAGUAAAGUUCUGUUUGCUAAUGAUAAAUUCUGUUAGCUUUUGUAUCUAUGAAAGAGUUUUUAUUUCCUUUCUUUUUUGGUAGGUGGGGAUGGGGUACCAGGGAUUGAACUCAGGAGCACUCAACCACUAAGCCACACUCCCAGUCCUUUUUUGUAUUUUAUCUAGAUUCAGGGUCUCACUGAGUUGCUUAGUGCCUGGCUUUUGCUGAGGCUGGCUUUGAGUUUGCAAUCUUCCUGUCUCAGCCUCCCAAGCCACUGGGAUUACAGGAGUGUGCCACCGCCCACCUGGCCCCUUCUUUUUUAAAUUAUUAUUUUUUUCCUGAGUAUAGAAUUGUAGGUCAAUAGCUUAUUCCUUAUAGUAUUUAAAAGAUAGUCCUACCCUGUCUUCCAGCUUGCAUUAUCUACAAUGAGAAAUCUAUAAUCUUUCCUCUCCUCCUCCUCCUCCUCCUUUUUUUUUUUUUUUUUGGUACUGGGGAUUGAAGCAAGGGACACCUUACCAUUGAGUUACAUCCCAAGAACUUUUCAUUAUUUAUUUUGAGACAGGGUCUCACUAAGUUGUUUAGUGCCUCCCUAAGUUGCUGAGAGUGGCUUCAAACGUGCAAUCCUCCUGCCUCAGCAUCUGAGUUGCUGGGAUCACCAACAUGCACCAUGGAACCCAGCAAAAAUUCUAUAAUCUUUUUUAAAAAUCUUAUCCCUCUGCAUAUAAUAUAUCUUUUUUCCUCAGCUUCUUUUAAAGUUUUUCUCUUUUAAAUGAUCUUAAGCAAUUUGUUUAUGAUAUGUCUUUCUAUUGUUUUUUUUCAUAUCACUUAUGCUCACGGUUCAGAUAUUUGGAUAUAUGGGUUUAUAGCACUUAUGAAAUUUGGAAAAAUAAUUCAGGUUUUAUUUCUUCUAAGUUUUUUUUUUUUUUUUUGCCAUCUCAUCUCUCCUUCCCUUUGUAGACCCUGAUCACUUGAAGCUCUUCUGUAGCUUACAAAUGUCCUAUUAUUCUGUUCUUCCCCACUUCUGUGUUUUAGUUUCUAUUUCUAGGCUAUUUCACUCAUUAAUCUUUUCUUCUGUGCUGUCUUGCUUUGGUUAAUUUCAUUCAGUAUAUUUUUUCACUUCAGAUAUAGUAGAUUUCAUACACAUUCAAUCUUUCCUUAAACUUGCUAAAUGUGAAAUAUAGUUAGAAUGCUGGAAAUACAGAUUUUAAUGUCUUUCUGUAGGAUUUCUCUCAUCUUUGAAAAUUUGGGGUAAUUUUCUAUUAAUUUUUCUUCUUAAUUAUGAGUCAUUAUUUUCCUUCUUGUCUGCGUGCUUGGUAAAUUUUCCCAGUAUGCCCAGCAGUGGAGUUUUAUCUUAUUGGGUACACGGAUUAUUUUGCCAUCCUUAUGAAAAUUCUUGAACUUUGCUCUGGGAUAUAGUUAAGUUACAUGGAAACAACUUGAUCCUCCUGGAUCAAAUUUGGUUAGGUGAUAUAAGAGUAGCAUUUGCUCUAGGACCAAUUUUACCCGACUUCUGAGGCAAGACUCUUCUGUGUACUCUUCCUUAUAAUUCAGAAAUUAUAAAGUUUGCCAGUUUGAGCCAUGAAAGCAGGAACUGUUUUUAGUCCUAUAUUAAAUCUGAUGCUUGCUUAUUGUACCUUUAAAUCUUUGACUGUUUUUUUUUUCUCUUGUUUCUAGUCAUUUCCUUACAUAUGCACUGAUAAACUUCCUGAGUUCAUUCAAUAGAGAUCUCUUCUGUCUGGUAAUCUGCAUUAUGAACUCUAGCUUGCUUUGUCCCUCAGAUUCUCAGCUCCAACUCUUCAAAUCCAGGAAACCACUUGGAUUCCUCUCCUUGUGCCACAGCCUGGAAACUCUUGCAGGCAUUAAAAUGGGCAGUUGUAAAAUUAGUUCACUUUGUUUUCUGCUUCUCAGAUAGUACUAUCCUUUUGUUACCUAAUGUCCAAUGUCUUUUAAACAAUCAUAUCUAGGGGCUGGGGAUAUAGCUCAUUUGGUAGAGUGCUUACCUUGUAUGCAUAAGGCCCUGGGUUCAAUCCCCAGCACCAAAAAAAAAAAAAAAAAGAUCAUAUCUAAAUAAAAGUCUUCUGGGCUUGGUGGCCCAUUCCUAUCAUCCCAGCUGUUUGGAAGGCUGAGACAGGAGGAUUUCAAAUUUGAGGCCAGUUGCAGCAAUUUAUCGAGAACUUGUCUCAAAACCAAAAAACAAAAACCAACCAACCAAAAACAAAAACAAGCCUAAAGGCUUGAAGAGACAACUUACAAUAUAGAAAAAAAAUAUUUGCAGUCCAUACGUGAAUAAGUGAUUAAUAUCCAAAAUAUAGAAGGAACUCAAACAGUUCAAUAGCCAAAAAACAAAUAAUCAAUAGCCAGAAAACAAAUAACCUGAUUUAAAAAUGGGUAAAGUACAUGAAUAGAUAUUUCUAAAAAAAUAUAUAUAUAAAACGUUGGCUGGGGUUGUGGCUUAGAGGCUGAGUGCUUGCCUAGCAUGUGUGAGGCAUUGGGUUUGAUUCUGAGUACCACACAUCAAUAAAUAAAAUAAAUGUCCAUUGACAACUAAAAAAAAUACAUAAAACAUCCAACAAAACUAUGUAAUGUUUUGAACAGCCAACAAUAAAAAAUUAAAAAAAAAAAAAAAACAUCCAACAAGUUGCUGGGCGUGAUGGCGCCCACCUGUAAUCCCAGUGACUCUGGAAGCUGAGGCAAGAGGAUGGCAAGUUCGAAGCCAAUCUUAGCAAUUUAGGGAGGCCAUGAGAAACUCAGUGAGCUUCGUCUCAAAAUAAAAUAUAAAGGGCUGGGGUUGUGGUCAGUGGUAUACAUAUAUAAAAGNAGAGAUAUCAGUGCUCCCAUGUAAGAUGUGGCACUACCCAAAACAGCCAAGUGUCUAUUAAAGUCCAAAUGCAUUAAAAACUAUGGUCUAUACAUACAAAGGAAUAUUCUUCUGCCUUGAGAAAAGAAGGAAAUCCUGACAUUUAUAAUAAUGUGAAUAGAUCUACAAGACAUUAUGUUAAGUGAAAUAAGCUAGGCAUAGAAAGACAAAUACUGCAUGAUAUUGCUUAGAUGUGAAAUAUAAAAAAGUCAGACUCGCAAAAAUAGCAUAAAAUGGUGGUUACCAGAGCGUGGUGAUGAGGGUGGGGGUGAAGAUGGAGAUGCAGGGGAAUGUAGGGGGGUAUUGUUGGUUGAAGGACAUAGAAUUUCAUUUAGGAGCAAUAAUUUUAAGAGAUCUAUUGUAAACCCCAGUGACUACAAUUAAUAACAUACCAUGUAUUUGAAAAUUGCUAAGAGUAGAUUUUAAAUAUUCUCAUCACAAAAAAAAGUAUGUGAGGUAAUGCAUAUACUAAAUAGUUCAAUAUAUUCAUUCUACAACGUAUACAUAUAUUAAAGCAUCAUGUUGUGCAUCAUGAAUAUGUAUAACUUUUACCAGUCAAUUAAAAAAUUAAUUUAAGCAAUUCAGUCAACAUUACCUAUUGAUCCUUGGUGGAAAACAGAAUUUGGAUAUAAUAUAAACAUGGCAGUUUUUAGCAUGUGAUGCAUGGCUUAGGAGAAAAGAUAUACUUUAGAUUUGGGGGAUUCCAGUUUAGAGUAAUAAAAGUUGGCUUAAAGUCUAUACUUUUUCUUACACUGUGAAUUUAAAGUUAUUAUUUUAAAUAGUGAAUAAGUAUACAACAUGUAAGUGCCCAGUGAAAAUUCUAAAAGUUUGAUACUUUUUUUGUGUGUGUGUGGCACUGCAGAUUGACCCCAGGGCCUCAUACAUGCUAGACAGGCACUCUACUGAGCUAUAUCCCUAGCCCUAAGAGUAGGAGACUUUUAAAGGUCAUUCAUCCAUUGACUGGAAUCUAGCCAGGUUUUAAACUUUUUGCCUUACAUUCUAGAUAAUUUAUUUGCAAAAUUAGGUAAAAUUUGGGAAUCUUAGGGAUAAUUCUUCUCAGAUGGCAUAUCUUGGCAAGGUUUAUGACAUUUUAUACCUAUUAUUCACUGACAUUAUGAUAUCUUGUGAGGUUUUAUUUUAGUAUUUAGUUUAAAGAAUAAGAUAAAGAGGCUAUGAUGAAUCUCAUGAAUAGCCUUUGCCUAGAAAACAAACACAGUGAUUGCUCUUUACACAUAACCUGAAAUCAAGAACAAUACCAGCAUCUAAAGGUACAGGAAUUUAAAUCACAAGUGCAUAAGGUUUGAAUCCUGAUACACCUGAACCAUGUUUUGUACUACCUCAGCUUUCAAAAAUCUGUAAUUUUUCUAUUGAAUUGGGAGUUAUUCAUUUUGAGGGUAAUAAAGAAAUUCCAAUUUGAACUUCCACGUUUAUCUUUUAAUUGGAAUUUUCCCAAAGCACAAAAGUAAAAAGUGUAAAAGUUGCUGUGUUUCAUUAGUUUCAUUCUUUUUGAAUGUUGCUACCCUGAAAGCUCUGUGUGAAAUUAUUAGAAGACAAGUUUUCAAAUGGUGGUAAAAGAAGAUGCAUAUGUGGGGACUCACUCAAAGGGCAUUAUUUAAAAAAGAAAUUUUGUAGCCACCCAGAUCUCAGGGUAGCUAUGUCCAUUCAAGGAUAGAGAAUCUGCCAUCCGUGUGAUUAUUUUUACAUCUGAACUUUUUUUUUAUACACCAGAGAGACUCAAAACUUUCAGGGUCAUUUGCCCAGCAUGUAGUGGAAUGUCCUGUGCAAUAGAUUCCAAUUAAUAUGACCAUGUUCAAUGGCCCUGUAUCACCAAUGAUGUAUAACUUCUUUCCACUUGGCUUUAUAUGGCACUUCUUUGUUGCAGCUGUAACCAGGUCUAUCGCCCCUUUGACAAAAAUUUCAGUUACCCCAGAGAGAAGCUUUCAAUUUUAUUAAGCAUUGAAGUCCACACAUUUGUUCUUUUUCAGAAGAGCAGAUCAAAAGCACUCUUUCUAAGGAAGUAAUCUGAUAAAUUAGGAUAGUACUGGUGGACUCUGGCAAUAAUGUUUUUUUCUGUAAUUGAAACCUAAGAGCUUGUAUAAACUGACUAGACUAUCAUGAACUUUUUAGCAUUUAACAAAAGUUUCUUUCAUUUUUUAAAAAAGUAAAUAGGGUUCCUUGAUUCUAUUUAACCAGUUCUUUAGCAUGCUGUGUCUUUUUGGUUGUGGUUAGGAAAACCUCAAUCUAGGUUUAGUGAUAGGGAACUGACAAUCAAGGAAAAAAGCAAUUAGAUCAUCAAGUUGUGGUAUAGAGAAAAGCCUGUGGUUUUUCAAUCCUAUCUUUCACAUUAAUUCACUGUAAAAACUGGAGCAAGAGACUCAAUUUUUUUCUGGGCCACAGUUUCCUCAUCUUUGAAAAGGAAGGAUUAAUUGUAUGGUAUGUAAAACUUCUGCUGAAUCAGAAAUUCUCAAAUUCUAAAUGCCAUACUUUGUGUUUACAUAUAGCCAUUUCUUUUUCCUUUGUGUCUCCUGCCUGCUACAAUUUCAGGUUUAGUUUGGCAAUGGAAUAAUAUGAUGUAGUACUGCUUCACAAAAGAGCCCAGACAGAGUCUCAUUUUUUUCCAUAGUCCCAAACUGCAAGAGUUUGGAAAAGACACCAGACAGGCUCUUCUUGAGAAAAUUCUCUCUCUCUCUCUCUCUCUCUCUCUCUCUCUCUCACACACACACACACACACGUUCACACAUAUCAGAUUUCUUCACAGCUGAUGAGACAAAUGUUGCCUUCUGUGUAUGUCUGAAUUUGAGUGCUACCCCCUGUUAUUAGCACCUUCAAAGGUUUAGAAUGAGAUCUUUAAAUUCCAGUUUGUGGUAUUUCAAUUCUUGGGAGGGGUAUCAUGAAUCAAAAUGCAUGCCACACACUGCCUGUAGACUAAAUAUAAUUACUUGUAGUGGUUUGUCAAUGGGUGCUUAAAAUAUCAGCAUUACAUGUAGAAGUCUUAAAAAUAUUUUAUCACUAAAUGGAAACUAUUUUGUAUAUGGAUUCUUUCUAAAUUUUAAGCUCUGAUGAUUGAGAUUUAGAGGGGAUCAUGUUCUUCAGAAACUAAACACCACCAAUAUGGGGGUGACAUUAUUAGAAAUAUUUUCUUAGGAAGUAGAAAUUUAGAAAUCAAGUUUCUAAUUUAGACCCUUGCCAAUCCAUUUCUGGUAUUAGGCAAUUCUCCAAACAUCUACAAAUGCUAGUUUGACACUGGAGAUUGAAUCCAGGGGCACUCUACCACUGAGCUAUAUCCCCAGACCUUUCUAAAAUUUUUAAAUUUUGAACUUGGGGUUCUCCUACCUCAGUCUCCAAAGCAGCUGGAAUUUUGGGUGUGUGCCAUCAUGCCCAACUCUGUGCUGAAUUUUUAAAGGUUAAUUGUAAUGUGGAAUCUGAAACUAUAUAAAUAUUUUUUUUCUACAGGAUUAUGCUAAAAUUCACUGAUAUUUUUCAAACUGAAUGGAUCUUUUACUCAUGCAUGAUUUUGUAAUAUCAUUCAUUUAUUGUUGAAAAAAAGUUGAUUCACUGACUUAGUUUGAUUUUUCUGAAUGCUGAUUCAUUUCAUUAUUACUAUACCAAGAGAUCUUUUUGUUAAAACCACCACCAAUCCUGUCAGGAAAACCUGUAAAUGUGAAGAAAAAAAGAAAAAAAAAAAAACCCAACAAAUUCAUGAUGACAGAUUAAAGUCUUCCAAAUAUGUUACUUUUAUCUUACAGGUUCAAAUUUUAUUUUAGGCAAGAAAUACCCUUUCUUUUUGUUUACCUAUAAAUAUCAAAAGGUCUGCCAAAUACUUGAUGUGAGAAUCCACAUUUGUUUACUGGUCUUUUUCUCAAGCAAAAAUAAUGUUCCGUGAAAACAGGUUGAUUCCGCCUCUAACUCAAUUGUGUCAGUUUUUUUUUUUUUUUAAUAUGUUUACUUUACAUUUCUGUGGUGCUGAGGAUUGAACCCAGUGCCUCAUGCAUGCUAGGCGAGCGCUCUACCACUGAGCCACCACCCCAGCCCCAGUUUUUUUUUUUUUUUUCCCAGAGACAACCAUGUUACUUCAAUAUGCAGCAAUAGUGUUUCAUGAACACUUUUCAUUUCAUUAUGCAGAAUGCUAAUAAGACAUGUACUCAAGGGUCUAGAUUUAUUAAAGUAAUAUUUUUAUUGCUUUUUUUUUCUUACUCUUUCUUUUUUUUGGCGGGGGCAGGGGGUGGGGUGUGGGGUGGAAUUGCAGAUUGAACUCAGGGAUGCUUUGCACCAAGCUACAUCCCCAGCCCUUUUUUAUUUUUUAUUUUGAGAUAAGAUCUCACUAAGUUGCUUAGGGCCUCACUAAAUUGCUGAGACUGACCUCAAACUUGCAUUCCUGUUGCUUCAGCCUCCCAGGUCACUGAAGUUAUAGGUGUGUGUGUCAAUGCUCCUGGCUAUAAAAGACAUUCUUGAAUGAAACUGGCAUUUUAGGGCUGGGGUUGUGACUCUGUGGUAGAGCGCUUGCCUGGCAUGUGCAGGGCCCUGGGUUCGAUUCUCAGCACCACAUAUAAAUAAAAUAACUACAACUAAAAAAUAAAUAUUUUUUAAAAAAGAAAGAAAGAAUGGCCUGUGUUCCCUGAGGAAAACCUCCACGUGGGACCCCCCAAGGCCCCUGCAAGGGAGGACCAUGGGGGUGGAACUGCCACCAGGGGGACAUCUGGGUGUCAAAAAAAAAAAAAAGAAACUGGCAUUUUCUUAUUGGUGUGCCUGUCUGAUGGUGAAGUAUGUGAUACUACCAAUGUAGUUUGAUAUCAGUCCUUGAAUCUUCCUAAGGACCACUCCUCCUGCCCAUUGAUUUUACACCAUUGGUAAUUAUUAACACAGUGAAGGAAAAAAACUAACAUCUUAAAUUUAUUAUAAAAAUAGCUUUGUUCUUGCAGACUUUUUACAGGGAGCUUGGAGACCCCAGGAGAAUGCAGAUUGCACUUUGAGAAUUUCUGGACUAGAGUUUAAGAUUGUAAUGGUUUGACUUCUCUCUUUUAGUGGUCAGAAGAACGGGUCAGCUUCUCACUGCUCUCUUUGCCACAGAGUUGUUUCAUCAGGAGUAAAGAAUUAUUGACACUGAGGUCCACUCAUUAGAAGAAGGACCUACUUAAUGACUGAGGCAAGAUGUGAAAGCAGAGGGAACUUGAACUAAUGUAGUUGGUACCAGUAAGCAGCACAUAACUGCUCUCUUCUAACUAUAUUUGACUCUUUCCCCAUGUGGGACAAUAAUAAACAGACCCUUAAGAAAUUCUUGGUAUUGUGAAUUGUGCUGCUAUGAACAUCGAUGUGGCAGUAUCCCUGUAGUAGGCUCUUUUAAGGUCUUCAGGGAAUAGUCCGAGAAGGGCAAUAGCUGGGUCAAAUGGUGGUUCCAUUCCCAGCUUUCCAAGAAAUCUCCAUACUGCUUUCCAAAUUGGCUGCACCAAUUUGCAGUCCCACCAGCAAUGUACAAGUGUACCCUUUUCCCCACAUCCUCGCCAGCACUUGUUGUUGUUUGACUUCAUAAUGGCUGCCAAUCUUACUGGAGUGAGAUGGUAUCUUAGGGUGGUUUUGAUUUGCAUUUCUCUGAUUGCUAGAGAUGGUGAGCAAAAAAAUUUAAAUUUUGAAUAUGAAAACUUCAUAAAAAAUUUUUAAAAGGAGGAGGAAAAAAACUGUUUUCAGCAAUUAGCAUAGUUGAUGUUUUUUUAUUUAUAUUGCCAUCUCCUCCACCAUGCCCAAACUAGAGAGUUUUUGGAAGUGAAUCCCAAACACCAUAUUAUACAUAUAUAUUUUUUAUGUUAUCUGUAAAACGAUUAUUUUAUUUUUUCAUUUUUUAAAGACACUUAAUAUUUUUACCAAAAUAUAGUGAAUUGCUUCAAAAUUGUGCUUUAUUUGCUGUUGAUUUCAAUUAGAACCCCAAGUGGCAAUGAUUGAUAAACUUUUGUUUCUCUUCAUCCUUCUCAUUCUGAAUCUUCCCUCCCCAAACAUUUUUGUUGAAGAAAGAGUCAUUCUCCUUGUAGUUUUUCUCAGUCCCCAGAGUUUCCUAUGAAGUGGUCCUUAGAGUUAAAGUCUUGGCUUUUUUUUUUUUUUUUUUUUUAGGUUAUUCUUUGACAAGAUUUCUGCAUGGGAAAUGUUGAGCAUUUUCAUCGGGAAGCACAGAGGUCUGGUUGUCCUCUCUUUAUUUGUGAUAUUAACAUCUGUUUAUGGCCAUUGUUUAGAGUAGGCCCAUCAUACCAUUAAUUGUUAUGAAAUGUUAAUAUUCUUUUUAUAACAGUUUCAUGUAUUAGCUGAAAUAUUUUUGUACAGAGACUCUGCUCACAAAUUUUGGUUACCUUCCAGUACCUACCACAUAGGAAAGACAAAAUACUCAGUUCUUUCACUUUAUCUGUCCCUAUCUUCUCACAGUUUAUCCUCUCUCCCUGUAUAUGGUCAUUUAAAAACUCUUUUGCUUUAGCUUUCCAUUAAAAAUAAUAAUAAUAAUAAACAUAAAAAAUGGUAACCAUAACAGUCCUUGAACUUGUUCUUUUCAUUUACUUGUAUAUCGUGGAGAUCACUUUUAUAGCAGUGUAUAAUAACAGCUUUAUUUCCUUUUAUAGUUUCCUAACACUUAAUUGAGUGGCUACAUCAUGCUAUUCAACCAGAACACUUUCUGACGGAUGUUUGCUUUGUUCCCAGGUGUGUGCUGAUCAGCGUUCCACAACCAGCUCUAUAUAAAGGAAAAAGUCCUGAUUUGGAGUAUUUGCAAAUUUCUGUGGUAUAAACAUUCCCACCAUGGCUGCUUUCAAGCUCCUACCAUGAUGCCCCUGAAGGUGAAGUUCGGGAGUGAUGUACAGUGGCACAUCCUUCAAAUACAAU
Molecule: long non-coding RNA, 17825 nt
Filed under: Marmota monax (woodchuck)
Lineage: Eukaryota; Metazoa; Chordata; Mammalia; Rodentia; Sciuridae
Rfam family: tRNA (bases 10083-10152)
Source: RNAcentral